AGCGAACGUUAGCGGCGCGCCUAACACAUGCAAGUCGCACGAGAAAGGGAGCAAUCCCCGGUACAGUGGCGCACGGGUGAGUAACACGUAGAUGACCUUCCCUGGAGUGGUGGAUAACCUGCCGAAAGGCGGGCUAAUACAGCAUGGGACCACAUGGUUUUGACCGAGUGGUGAAAGCGGGCCUCUGUUCACAAGCUCGCGCUCUGGGAUGGGUCUGCGUCCCAUCAGCUAGUUGGUGAGGUAAUGGCUCACCAAGGCAUCGACGGGUAGCUGGUCUGAGAGGAUGACCAGCCACACUGGAACUGAGACACGGUCCAGACUCCUACGGGAGGCAGCAGUGGGGAAUCUUGCGCAAUGGGCGAAAGCCUGACGCAGCGACGCCGCGUGGGUGAUGAAGGCCUUCGAGUUGUAAAGCCCUGUGGGAGGAACGAACCGUACGGGGCGGAAGUACCCUCCGUGCCUGACGGUACCUCCUUAGUCAAGCAUCGGCU
RNAcentral lists this ribosomal RNA (491 nucleotides) under uncultured bacterium. Its description in RNAcentral is "bacterial SSU rRNA". It matches the Rfam family "Bacterial small subunit ribosomal RNA", at positions 29 to 498 of the family's 1533-position model. The record is from RNAcentral.